AUGGAGAACAUGCUGGAAUGUGCAUUCAUAGUCUUGUGGCUUCAGCUUGGCUGGUUGAGGGGAGAAGACAAGGUGGAGCAGAGUCCUCAGACCCUGAAAAUCCAGGAGGGAGACAGUCUCAUCCUCAACUGCAGCUACACGGCCAGCAAUUUUAACGGGCUACUGUGGUAUAGACAGGAUCCUGGGAAGGGACCCGAACUUCUCUUCCGUCUUUACUCAGUUGGGGAGGAAAAGCAGAACGAAAGACUAAAAGCCACCUUGUUAAAGAAGGGAAGCUCUCUGCACAUCGCAGCCCCUAAACCUGAAGACUCAGCCGCUUACCUCUGUGCCACCUCUGAAGGCAGCAGGCCUGAGUCAUCAGCCAGUUCUCCACCAGGAAAAGGGGAGACAAGAGGCCAUGGGGAGUGCUUCCUGAAUGGGAUCUGA
Globicephala melas (long-finned pilot whale) is the source of this 426-nucleotide non-coding RNA. The record is from the annotation of a RefSeq genome assembly. Lineage: Eukaryota; Metazoa; Chordata; Mammalia; Artiodactyla; Delphinidae.